Molecule: long non-coding RNA, 2202 nt
Filed under: Patiria miniata (bat star)
Lineage: Eukaryota; Metazoa; Echinodermata; Asteroidea; Valvatida; Asterinidae
Description: uncharacterized LOC119728196
Source: RNAcentral
UGAAGCGUGUUGUCGUAGCGGUAACUUUAAUUCCUUACUAUAAUUUUUUAAUAUUUUAUUAAUAAUUAUGCAGUUUAAUGAGACCAACAACAUCUAUCUUAGAGUGAACCCCAAGAAAUGUUUUCAUGCUCAGUCGAGUCACUCAUCCGCAUGGCAAACGUCAAGUUGGAGCAUGCUUCUUUUGACAUCUGGGAGGGCUGUAUUUUGAUUCAGUUAGGCUAUCACCGUGCAAGUUAACUCAGUCUGUGAUGAACAGACAAUAUCAACGAGAUGUCACGGACAUACACAAGACACACAUUGUACAUAAACUGGGCUUCUGCAGCAUAGAGGGAGCAGAGAAAGAAUACGGUGUUCACCAUGUAUGAUGACAACAGGAACACGUCUGCAAGAUCACCUAUAACCUGACAUAUCAUCCUGUGACCUACAGUUAAAAAGGGGAUGGUUGCAUUGAGACUGCGACUCAAGAACCAUCCCUGCCAUCAGCAAGCCAUCAGCAGCGCACUGACAGCAGCACUGCACUAGAAUAAAGACAUCAUCGGGCAUCGACACAGCCAGAUGCACGACCACAUCGAGCUCUGGCUGCAGAUGGAGGACAACACGCACCUGUAUUUUUGUCAGGAGUUGUUCACCCCUCCCAUACUUCUGGCUUUGAAUGAUUGGAAUCUUGCCCGGAGCACUCAGUCCCCUGGUAUGCCUCCGAGGCAUGAAGGAAGGAAUCGCCGUGUCUGAGGUUAUGGAUUUGCCAUUCCACUUCUUCGCUUCUACUACCCAUCCCAACUUCAUCUUGCAACUUCUCAGCCUCAUCUUUGAACAUGCCCAGGCGAUCAGCGUUCACCGUUUGGCUGCUGCUGUGGAAAUCCUUCCCAUACGUUGGUUGGAACUGUGGGCUCAACCCAUUCUGUGCUGGACUGACAAUAUCACUGAAGAUCUUCGAUUAAAAAAAAGAGCAGUUCCAUGAUUUCGUCGUAACCUUUGCGUCAACUUGCUCUGUUCUAGACUGACAAUAUCCUUUAUCUUCGGCCGAUGAUUCUCUUCUUCAUGUUUUUGUCAACAUGGAUUCAGGCUGCUGUAUGUUGAACUAUCAAUAUCAAAGAACUUUGAUUGAUAAAUCCUUUGCUCAAGUUAGUCGCGAUCAUUCAGUCAACUCAUUCUGCGCUGGACUGACAAUAUCACUAAAGAUCUUCUACUGACGCAUCUUUUCCACAAGUUUUUCGAGAACAUGGAGUCGAUUCACUCUGUUCUGGCUUGACAAUAUCACUGAACGCUUUCAGUUGAUGAACUAUUGCCCUACAUGUAAGUUGGCCUAGAUGUUGGAGUCAACCCGUUCUGCGCUGGACUGACAAUAUCACUAAAGAUCUUCAACCGAUGCACCUUUUCCACAAGUUUUUCGAGAACAUGGAGUCGAUUCACUCUGUUCUGGCUUGACAUUAUCACUGAACGCUUUCAGUUGAUGAACUAUUGCCCUACAUGUAAGUUGGCCUAGACGUUGCAGUCAACCCGUUCUGUGCUGGACUGACAAUAUCACUAAAGAUCUUCGACUGAUGAACCAUUUCCACAAGUUUUUCGAGAACAUGGAGUCGAUUCACUCUGUUCUGGCUUGACAAUAUCACUGAACGCUUUCAGUUGAUGAACUUUUUCCCUCAGUUGGCCUAGAUAAUGGAGUCAAACCCGUUCUGCGCUGGACUUACAAUAUCACUAAAGAUCUUCGACCGAUGAACCCUUUCCAUGAUUUUUACUAUUGUGGCGUGACAGUAUCACUCAGGAUCUUCGAUCGAUGAACUAUUCCCCCUGAGUUUAACUGGACACUUGGAGUCUUCCUCCAAGCUUCCUCCAAGCUGACAGUUUACAGUUGUUUCCUGAGGAGGUUCAAGGAGGUUGCAGUCUAAGAAAAAAGUGGCCUUGUUUUAGAUGGAGAACAAACUUUCUGCUUGAUGAACAGCCAGCUACAGUGUACGAGCAUCUCUCAGCCUAUCCCCUCAACUCCUUCCUGCAUCAUUGGAUGUCCAGUCUCGCCAGCAGAGCUCGACUCAGCUUCUGGCGAAGGACCCGACCACCGUACAACGCAGCCUGCGAUGGACUGACAAUAUCACUCCAGAUUUCCGACUGAUGAUCUCACGUGCGAUUUGCAGCAUGGUCUUCCUUUACACAGAUGUAGACCAUGGUGACAAUUUCGGUACCACCUCAGAUUGGAAAGUCUACGAG